This 252-nucleotide ribosomal RNA is filed under the name uncultured bacterium. RNAcentral describes it as "partial 16S ribosomal RNA". It matches the Rfam family "Bacterial small subunit ribosomal RNA", at positions 524 to 775 of the family's 1533-position model. The record is from RNAcentral.
UACGUAGGGUGCGAGCGUUAAUCGGAAUUACUGGGCGUAAAGCGUGCGCAGGCGGUUUUGUAAGCCAGAUGUGAAAUCCCCGGGCUUAACCUGGGAAUGGCAUUUGGGACUGCAAGGCUUGAGUGCGGCAGAGGAGACUGGAAUUCCUGGUGUAGCAGUGAAAUGCGUAGAUAUCAGGAGGAACACCGAUGGCGAAGGCAGGUCUCUGGGCUGACACUGACGCUCAUGCACGAAAGCGUGGGGAGCAACAGG